Molecule: transfer RNA, 74 nt
Filed under: Dallia pectoralis (Alaska blackfish)
Lineage: Eukaryota; Metazoa; Chordata; Actinopteri; Esociformes; Umbridae
Description: tRNA-OTHER
Rfam family: tRNA
About the family: Transfer RNA (tRNA) molecules are approximately 80 nucleotides in length. Their secondary structure includes four short double-helical elements and three loops (D, anti-codon, and T loops).
Source: RNAcentral
GGCGCUGUGGCUUAGUUGGUUAAAGCGUCUGUCUAGUAAACAGGAGAUCCUGAGUUCGAAUCUCAGCAGUGACU